CCUACGGGUGGCUGCAGUCGAGAAUCAUUCACAAUGGGGGAAACCCUGAUGGUGCGACGCCGCGUGGGGGAAUGAAGGUCUUCGGAUUGUAAACCCCUGUCAUGUGGGAGCAAAUUAAAAAGAUAGUACCACAAGAGGAAGAGACGGCUAACUCUGUGCCAGCAGCCGCGGUAAUACAGAGGUCUCAAGCGUUGUUCGGAAUCACUGGUCGUAAGGCGUGCGUAGGCUGUUUCGUAAGUCGUGUGUGAAAGGCGCGGGCUCAACCCGCGGACGGCACAUGAUACUGCGAGACUAGAGUAAUGGAGGGGGAACCGGAAUGCUCGGUGUAGCAGUGAAAUGCGUAGAUAUCGAGAGGAACACUCGUGGCGAAGGCGGGUUCCUGGACAUUAACUGACGCUGAGGCACGAAGGCCAGGGGAGCGAAAGGGAUUAGAUACCCGAGUAGUC
This 446-nucleotide ribosomal RNA is filed under the name uncultured bacterium. Its description in RNAcentral is "partial 16S ribosomal RNA". It matches the Rfam family "Bacterial small subunit ribosomal RNA", at positions 338 to 795 of the family's 1533-position model. The record is from RNAcentral.